RNAcentral lists this ribosomal RNA (364 nucleotides) under Chloroflexota bacterium. RNAcentral describes it as "bacterial SSU rRNA". It matches the Rfam family "Bacterial small subunit ribosomal RNA", at positions 1 to 366 of the family's 1533-position model. The record is from RNAcentral. Lineage: Bacteria; Bacillati; Chloroflexota.
UCCACGGAGAGUUUGAUCCUGGCUCAGGAUAAACGCUGGCGGCGUGCUUUACGCAUGCAAGUCGAACGAAGCUCCAUCCUUCGGGAUGGAUGACUGAGUGGCAAACGGGUGAGUAACGCGUAGGUGACCUACCCCGGGGUGAGGGAUAACUCGCCGAAAGGCGGGCUAAUACCUCAUGCGCUUAGCGGUUCGGACCGCUGAGGAAAGUUCCGGCGCCCUGGGAGGGGCCUGCGUCCGAUUAGCUUGUUGGUGGGGUAACGGCCUACCAAGGCAACCAUCGGUUGCUGGUCUGAGAGGAUGAUCAGCCACACUGGGACUGAGACACGGCCCAGACUCCUACGGGAGGCAGCAGCGAGGAAUCUUG